This 355-nucleotide long non-coding RNA is filed under the name Salvia miltiorrhiza (redroot sage). RNAcentral's name for it is "long non-coding RNA (SMIL_LNC011160)". The record is from RNAcentral. Lineage: Eukaryota; Viridiplantae; Streptophyta; Magnoliopsida; Lamiales; Lamiaceae.
AGUGUAUCACCAAACAGGAAUCCAAAAGUCAGGAAUCCGGCGAUACACGCAAUCAAUCGGAGCGAGGUUCACACACACAGUCACCAAUCAGGAAACCACGAACAGGAAUCCGGCGACACUUCAGGAAGGAAUAGCAGAGCCUUCCGGUCAAACAGUGUGUAAAACUACCUACAAUGCAAAGCAAUGCAGCGGGGAUUAAUAGGGGUGGAGAGGAGUAAAGGUUUUUGGGAACACAAGGAGUGGCAGCCAUUAAUGGUGGGGGAAGCUCGAGAGAACAGGAGAUCAGAGGUCGGGGGAGAGGAAGGGCGGUGGAGAGGGGAAGACAAAAAGGUUAGGAGGGGAGAGAGAGGAGCGG